Molecule: RNA transcript, 3607 nt
Organism: Felis catus (domestic cat)
Lineage: Eukaryota; Metazoa; Chordata; Mammalia; Carnivora; Felidae
Gene name: transport and Golgi organization protein 1 homolog
Exons: 4
Source: RefSeq, a predicted model, not a curated record
CUGUUUCCAAUUCUGUGUCUCCCUCUCUCUCUGCCCCUCCCCCGUUCAUGCUCUGUCUCUCUCUGUCCCAAAAAUAAAUAAACGUUGAAAAAAAAAAAUUUUAAGGUUGGAGGCUAACAUUCUCACGUUGGGAUGAAAAAAGUUUGUCUUCUAGGAAUUGCCAUUAAUCCACAUCCUCCAGCCACUAAGUGUAAAGCUGAGAUGGUACCCGUAUGUUUGAUUCCAAAGACCUUGUCCUCCAUGGCCCCCGGCCUAGGGUUCACGAAAGGCAACCUGUGAGCAGCAGGAAGUCAUCCAAGGCCUUCGAGUAGUCAGUCAGUCAGCAGCAGUUUGAGCUUUCCUUGUGUGGAAUUCCAAAUAGCACCUGGGAGUGUGAGUGGCUCAAAUCGAGACUAAAGGAUGGUUUUGUUUGUUCCAUUAUUUGCAGGGACCUAUUUAUGUACCUUAAUAAUUGGAGGAGAGAAAUGUAAGUUGAUAGGAUUUGAUUUUUGUUUCAUCUCUGGUGGUGACAUAAGUAUUUGAAGUGAUUGGAUUUUCUAAGAAGGGUGCUUCCAGAUGGGAGAGAAAUGAGAAGAUAUUUUAUUGUGUUUCUCCAUUUUGGACAAUAUUUUAAAUAGGAAUCUCAUUGAAAUAAGGUUUUCUUAGGUUUAACAUGCUGCUAAAACUUGAUUUCUUCAGGCACAACGGGAAAGCUAAAAUGUUAGUUACACCCACCUGUCAGAUCAUGUGUGCUGCUAAUACACUGGGAUUAUUUGAGGUCACUGGUUUGGUAACAGCCUUAGAACAUGUUUUGUCUCCUUUUAGUUAGUUUACAGUGAAUAAUUGAGAAGAUCAAUACUUUUAAGAAAGAAAACAGAGAACUUCAUUGCUGAAAAAAUAUCCAUUUGGGAACAGAAGAAAAUAAAAAGGCCCUGGAAGACAAGUGUAAUGCAUUGAGGUCUGUGAAAGCAACCAAAGAAGCAAAAGUCAAACAGCUGAAGGACAAAGCAGGCAUCCUUGAAGAAUUCUAUGAAGAAAGAAAAGUGGCUAUAGAAGACUAAAAUGUUCAGGUGAGAACUAUCACAAGUACUGUUGUAUGAAUGAAUGUGACGGCCAGUAGAGAUAACUAAAAUUCUUUUCAAAUUUUUUGCCAAAUGCACUCAGAAUUGUGCCUGUCCUUCUUACCUGGCUUUCUGUCACCCGCAUUUUCCUUUCUGUCCUAAGUGCUUGUCACAUAUUGUGUCAUGUAUUUGGGGUGGAAGAGGGAAGGUGUCAGCAUUAAUAACAUUGAUAUCUGCAUCUGCUUGGGAUUCAGUCCCAUCACGUUGUCUUGUCAUCCAGGAAUUAGGUCAUUUUUGUUCAGGACCACACAUGGGUCAAGAAUGUGUAGGGGAAAAAUCAAUGAUCUUGCUGCAGAAACCACAGAAAUUUAUUUCUGGAAAGAGGGUAGGGGUGCCAGUAGUACUGGAUCCCUGCAUCAGUUCUGCUAGUGAGAUUGUUCACAGCAGGCCAAUCCCUAAGGAAGCUGAGUUAUUUCCUCUCCCCUGAUUUUUGAAGUGUAACUGCUCUGAGUCUUCACCAAAGCCCGCAGCUUCACUAGGGCUCAUCUUUGCUGGCUGCCUCUGAACUAAACACGUUUCCUUCUAAGUCUGUGCCCAUAAAGUUGUUCAGCUAUUUUGCAGUUCAGUUUUCUAUCCCCAAGUUCAUUGAUGAGUCCUGGGGAGAUUGGUUCCCACUGCCAGGCUGGCUUUGUCCUGGGCUUCCUUCUUCUCCAUCUUGGUCACAUGUGUCUUCAUGGGGUCAUUAGAAAUGUGGUGCAUUCGCUCACAUGUUUCCUCCUUUGUACAGUAUUUCCUUUUGUUCUCAGGAGGAGAUCAGGGCCAUUAGAGUCCCUCAUUCACAUUGAAAAGGAAAUACUUCCUUCUCUUCCCUGGAGACUCAGCUUCUGUUAGUCCUUCCCACACCUGGGGUGGAGCCUGCUCUGUCUCACUGGCAUCUUGUUUUUAUCAUUUCUAAGCUCUUUUGGAGAGCACGUACAGCACCCUGGCCACCUUUCUAUUUUCAAUCCCUUACAACAGAACCACUACAUUCCAGCCACUCCAGAAAGCAUUUGUUGAAGGACUGCCUGAGAUGCUGGAAGGAAAUGCAUGUGCCUUUCUCUGUCUAGAGGUUUUGUGUCCGUUUCUAGGAGUCUUUCAAUUUUGCAUGUGACUCUUGAAUACAUCCAGUACCAAGUUAAAACCCUUUAAAGCAACACCAUGAACAAAAUAGUCUGAGGGCAACACAGCAAACCAGCCUUUCUAAGCAUUUCCCUUUGCUGCCUUCACUGUCAAUGAACUGAGUCUUCUUCAAGUACAUUGGCUCCAUGAAGUUGAUAGUUUUCCAUCUGAAAUCUGUUUCCUGGAGAUAAACCCAGACUGUGUGACAGUUCAUAUCAGGUUCUACCUCAGGUGAUGUUGCUGCUCUAAGAUUGGCCUUUUCCUCCACCAGGAUAUGUGAAGGUGGACGCAGGGGUUGUACUCCUGACUCUAGCAAUGUCUGGGAGUGAGCUGCAAUGUUGGGGAAGCCAUAUCCUGGAAGGUCGUCUUUUAGGGUGAUUGUCUUUGUCAGGGUACAACUUCUGGACUGAGAAUCAGGGCUCCCCACGGAGGUGUGAGACUAGUGAUGAUCCCUUGCUUCAUCCUAAUGGGUAUGGGUGGUCAGACAAGGUUUUUGACACUGAACUGAAAUGAGCCGUCACCAUCUGAAACCAAAGUCCAGCUCUGGGAAGGCACAAAGUGCAAUAUUAUUUGAUGACUUUAUGAUGAAGGAGAGGAAACAGGUCUGACAGCAGAGACAUGGCAGCAGACAGAGGUUGAAUUUUCUUUAACUUAAAUGGGGUGUUCAGUUCAUUUCUCUGACUGUGUUGUCAGUCUGUGCAUUUAUGGGAGAGGUGGGGGAAAGGUAUUUGUAUCUAGGCCUUCAAGAGUGCUGGGAGGUAAAAAGGCAGAAUUUGUGGACCUUGGCUCCUGGACUGUGUAUAUGUCUUUCCCAUCUUAGGAAGCUGAAAAUGACACAGUGUGAACUGGCGGCAAAGAAGAAUCAGCUGGCAGCUGCAGGGAAAAUGUGAAAAUAGCCAUGAAAGAAAUAAACAAGUACAAAUCGCAGUUCAUGAGAAUAAUGCUCAGGACAACUGGGUAAGUGUUUCCUUUUUUCCUCCUCUCCCUCUUCGGUGCACAGUCUGGCACGACUGAAGGUGGAUGUGUUUUUCUCCCCCAGGUCAAGCCUCAGAUCUGGGAGAGGGAAAUGGCAGAGCAGAGCCGAGAGGUCGCCCACUUGAAACACAGGUCUGGGAGCGUGACAUGAGUUUUUAUGGGUGUUUUGAGGGAUGACAGCUGUGCUGUUUAGUGUCUAGUCAGAGGAUGUGGCAUUGCAACUCUUAUAGAAGUCCAUUCUUUUUCUGUAUCCAAGACUGGAUGUGAUGGAAGGAAAGAGGCUGCUUGAGGGAUACAGGAGGCAGAGAACAAUGCCUGGAAGUCCAGAGACGCAGAACCCUCUGAGGAGAGGGUCCUUAGCAGAUCCAGAAACUGGUGCAACCUCUGUGAGUUACAGCAGCUCUGACUGUACGAAGAAUGCAGACAAGGACAAG